UCUCAUGACGAUCUCGGUACCUGAGGAACU
Molecule: non-coding RNA, 30 nt
Filed under: Rattus norvegicus (Norway rat)
Lineage: Eukaryota; Metazoa; Chordata; Mammalia; Rodentia; Muridae
Source: RNAcentral